RNAcentral lists this ribosomal RNA (355 nucleotides) under uncultured bacterium. RNAcentral describes it as "partial 16S ribosomal RNA". It matches the Rfam family "Bacterial small subunit ribosomal RNA", at positions 338 to 709 of the family's 1533-position model. The record is from RNAcentral.
CCUACGGGAGGCAGCAGUGAGGGAUAUUGCGCAAUGGGCGAAAGCCUGACGCAGCGACGCCGCGUGGGCGAGGAAGGCCUUCGGGUUGUAAAGCCCUUUUGGCAGGGAAGAGCAAGGACUGUACCUGCAGAACAAGUCACGGCUAACUACGUGCCAGCAGCCGCGGUAAAACGGAGGGUGCGAGCGUUGUUCGGAAUCACUGGGCGUAAAGCGCGUGCAGGCGGCCUGUUAAGUCUGGUGUGAAAGCCCCCCGCUCAACGGGGGAAGGGCGCCGGAUACUGGCAGGCUAGAGUACCGGAGAGGAGGGCGAAAUUCCCGUUGUAGCGGUAAAAUGCGUAGAUAUCGGGAGGACCAC